AUUGAACGCUGGCGGCAGGCCUAACACAUGCAAGUCGAGCGGAUGAAGGGAGCUUGCUCCUGGAUUCAGCGGCGGACGGGUGAGUAAUGCCUAGGAAUCUGCCUGGUAGUGGGGGAUAACGUCCGGAAACGGGCGCUAGUACCGCAUACGUCCUGAGGGAGAAAGUGGGGGAUCUUCGGACCUCACGCUAUCAGAUGAGCCUAGGUCGGAUUAGCUAGUUGGUGGGGUAAAGGCCUACCAAGGCGACGAUCCGUAACUGGUCUGAGAGGAUGAUCAGUCACACUGGAACUGAGACACGGUCCAGACUCCUACGGGAGGCAGCAGUGGGGAAUAUUGGACAAUGGGCGAAAGCCUGAUCCAGCCAUGCCGCAUGUGUGAAGAAGGUCUUCGGAUUGUAAAGCACUUUAAGUUGGGAGGAAGGGCAGUAAGUUAAUACCUUGCUGUUUUGACGUUACCAACAGAAUAAGCACCGGCUAACUUCGUG
This 484-nucleotide ribosomal RNA is filed under the name uncultured bacterium. RNAcentral's name for it is "partial 16S ribosomal RNA". It matches the Rfam family "Bacterial small subunit ribosomal RNA", at positions 30 to 507 of the family's 1533-position model. The record is from RNAcentral.